UAGGGGCCAUUUCGUCGGAUGUAAUUAGAAAUAUUGUAUAGUUGGAGAUGCUGCAGUUAUAAAUAUAUAUAUUUUUUGUUUUGUUGGAUGAAGUAAGAAGUAAUACAACUAUAAAUAAUUCAUUUGUUGCAUGUAGUUUAGAAUUUCAUUUGUAAAAUUGUAUCACUAUGUAUAUAUGGUGGUGAGAUUACAUGCAGUGUAGAAAAGAAAAGAAAUUUCUAAUGAAAAAAUGAUUAGGGAGAUAAGCUUAUAUUUUCUUUAAAGUAACCCUUUCCAACUCCUGCAAUUGAAACUGCAAUCAAUUUGGACGCAAUACCAACUGCUGCAGUUGGGCAUUCCUAUACGGCACCAACUAUAAUAGCCGGAUUCAAACGCAUUAAACCAAGUAAUAAAUUUGAAUAUAUAUGUAGUUACAACUGUAGUAUAGUUACAACUAUAUGUAACCAAACAACUCUUUAAAAAGCAAUAAAAAACCAUGCUAUAAACUAUAAAAUGAAAAAUUAUAUCCUAAAAUAGAAAGAAAUUAAAAAACUGCAUAAGAAGAAAUAGUUGAGGGUAAAUUUUUCAUUUCAUCAAGUUAAUUAGUACUUUAACUCUCCUUUAACCAAGGUAGGAUAAUUUGUAAUAAAUUCGUAUUUAGACUAGUAUACGUGAUAUUUUGGAUUUUGAAGAGAUAUCCGUGAGAUUUUAAAAUUUUAGAAAAGUAUAUU
This 710-nucleotide long non-coding RNA is filed under the name Ananas comosus (pineapple). RNAcentral's name for it is "long non-coding RNA (ACOM_LNC013232)". The record is from RNAcentral. Lineage: Eukaryota; Viridiplantae; Streptophyta; Magnoliopsida; Poales; Bromeliaceae.